Pelobates cultripes (western spadefoot toad) is the source of this 430-nucleotide non-coding RNA. The record is from the annotation of a GenBank genome assembly. NCBI's taxonomy places the organism in Eukaryota, Metazoa, Chordata, Amphibia, Anura, Pelobatidae.
AUUGACUUCCAAAAGCAUUUUAUUUUUAGCAAGGUUAGUCAUUAAAAAACCUGAUAAAUGUCCUUUCAAUGCAUAUUUAUUGUGGCCUUUAUUUCGAGCAGCCGAUCUAUUUAUUGGAUUUGGCUGCUUGGAUUUCAUCUGUCUUUAUAUCCAGAUAAAAUUUGAUUAAAAGAUAAAGUGACUGAAAACUGUCGAUAUCAUCUGUUUUUGCCAAUAAAAAUUAAAAAAUCUAGGCCUUUUUAGUGAAUAAAUCUUGAUAACUCAUUCAGUGUUACAAGUGAACUUUAGCUUCUGUUGUGUGAAUAUUUCUGCCAUUUUUAUAGUUUUACUCUGAAGUGUGUUCACUUUAUCAUUUUCAUUGACAUGGGUCUUACUAACUGUGAGGUUUAUCCUAGGGCCGGAUUAAGAGCCCAUUGGGCCUGGCGCUGAU